This 238-nucleotide ribosomal RNA is filed under the name uncultured bacterium. Its description in RNAcentral is "partial 16S ribosomal RNA". It matches the Rfam family "Bacterial small subunit ribosomal RNA", at positions 100 to 334 of the family's 1533-position model. The record is from RNAcentral.
CGGAACGGGUGAGUAACGCGUGAAUAACCUGACUCAAAGAGGGGGGAGUAACAACGGGAAACUGUUGCUAAUACCGCAUGAGACCACAACACCGCAUGAUGAAGGGGUCAAAGAUUUAUCGCUUUGAGAGGGGUUCGCGUCCCAUUAGGUAGUUGGAGGGGUAACGGCCCACCAAGCCAACGAUGGGUAGCCGAGCUGAGAGGCUGAUCGGCCACACUGGAACUGAGACACGGUCCAG